AUACAUCAGAUUCCUUGGAUAUGGAGCUCAGGAAUGUGCUGAUGUGUUGGGUCGUGAUGGACUUCAUCUGAGUCGUGUUGGUGGUAGACAUUGUAGUCAGCCUGGCAGCUGCUGUUGAACCAGUCAGUGACCAGAAUGUCCAGGCCAGCAAGCAGCCUCUGUACUCGGAAAUAGUCCGUUUGCCAGCAGCUGAAGUUCCAGAUGUUACCUCAGUGCAGCAUAAUGUGAAGUUACCAAGGCGCAAUGUAUUGA
This is a long non-coding RNA of Mya arenaria, 252 nucleotides long. RefSeq lists it as uncharacterized. The transcript has 4 exons. The record is from RefSeq and is a predicted model, not a curated record. NCBI's taxonomy places the organism in Eukaryota, Metazoa, Mollusca, Bivalvia, Myida, Myidae.